UGGAUUAGGAGAAAGCCCGCCUGAUAAAGUGAAGGAAAGGCCUUUAGGCCUCUGGCAGCACAGAAUGCUUCUCCUCUGCCCAGCUUCCUGCAGACAGGCUGCUGGCUAGGGUCUGAGUGUGUGUGCUGCUGGAACUGGUUUCAGCUUGGGGGGCUCCCAGGACCACCCAGACUUGGGAAUGUGUGGCAGUGGCUUCUGCCAUCAGGCCAGCUGGCUCUUCGUGACUCAGCCAGUUUUAAUGGACUUGGAAGAAAUAUUCCAUGCCAGAGACACUCGGGACCUCCUAGCAACCAGGCAUCCAAUGUGCAAAGCAAUCUGGCCCAACUCUCUUUCCCCUCAUCUCCUGUGAGAGACCUCUGUCCGAUGGCAACCAGGUGUCUGUGGGCUGCUUGGCACGGGACUUCCUGCCCAGCAAAAUAUCCUUCUCCUGGACCUAUAAGAACAACUCUGCCGUGAACCAGGUCAUCAGAACCUUCCCAGAUGUACUCAUAGGGGGCAAGUAUGCAGCCACCUCCCAGCUGCUCCUGGGCUCCAAAGACAUCGCCCAGAGCACUGACAUCCAGCUGAUGUGCAAGGCUCAACAUAUGACAGGCACUGUGCAGACAGAGGUGAUCACUAAAGGGAUCGUGGAGCUGGCCCCUAAUGUGACUGUAUUUGUCCCACCCCGAGACACCUUCCUCGACUCUCGAAAGUCCAAACUCAUCUGCCAGGCCACAGACUUCAGUCCCAAGCAGGUCACAGUGUCCUGGCUGCGGGAAGGAAAGAUUAUAGAGCGUGGCAUCAUCACAGAUGAGGUAGUGGCUGACAAAAAAGACUCCCAGCCCGUGACUUUCAAGGUUACCAGCACACUGACCAUCACUGAGGAUGACUGGCUGGGCCAGAAGGUGUUCACCUGCCGUGUGACUCACAAGACAGGCACCUUUGACAAGAAUGUAUCCUCCUCUCUGUGUAUCCCUUCAACUCCAUCCACAGACAUCAAAGUCUUCCUCAUUCCUCCCUCUUUCAAUGACAUCUUCCACACCAAGUCAGUCAAGCUGACCUGCCUGGUCAAUGACCUGAUCCACCAAGGAGGACUGAACAUCUCCUGGUCCAACCAGGAUGGCAGGGAACUGCCCACCAAAAUCAGAGAUGCUGAGAGCCAAGCCAACAGCACUCUCAGUGUCACGGGUGAGGCCAGCAUCUGUGAGGAUGAAUGGGAUUCUGGGAAUGAGUUCACGUGCACCGUGGUCCAUCAUGAUCUGCCCUUCCCAUUGAAGAAGACCAUUUCUAAGCCCAAAGCUGGGAAUAAGAAGCCUCCCGCUGUGUAUGUACUGCCACCAGCCCGGGAGCAGCUGGUCCUGCAUGAGCAGGCCACCAUCAUCUGCCUGGUAAAGGGUUUUGCCCCUGCGGACAUUUUUGUGCAGUGGCUGAAGGGUGGACAGCCCUUGUCAUCAGACAAGUAUGUGACCAGUGCUCCGAUGCCAGAGCCCCACACUCCAGGCUACUACUAUGCCCACAGCCUGUUGACCGUGCCUGCAGAGGACUGGAUCUCGGGGGAGACCUUCACCUGUGUCGUGGGCCAUGAGGGCCUGCCGCACAUGGUGACUGAGAGAACCGUGGACAAAUCCACUGAGGGGGAGGUGAAUGCUGAGGAAGAGGGCUUCGAGAACCUUUGGACCACCGCCUCCACCUUCAUCGUGCUCUUCCUUCUCAGCCUCUUCUACAGCACCACUGUCACUUUAUUCAAGGUAAAGUGACCCAGCUGUGGGAGGACACUGAAGACCAAGAACUCAACCACAGUGCCUGGCCUGGGGUGGGCUGUGCUGCAUGGCCCUCAACUUGAACCUCUUCGCACAUCCCUCCAGCUCUGCGCUCUAGGACACAGGCAUCUCUCCAUGCCAGCCAAUGUCGCCACCAUGUUCACAGCACUUGGGUCCCCAAGCUCGGCUUUGCUGUUUGUGUGCAUGUUGUCCUGAAAUAAACACAGAUGUGCUCUU
Molecule: non-coding RNA, 1976 nt
Organism: Cavia porcellus (domestic guinea pig)
Lineage: Eukaryota; Metazoa; Chordata; Mammalia; Rodentia; Caviidae
Source: the annotation of a RefSeq genome assembly